This is a ribosomal RNA of Nematocida sp., 1888 nucleotides long. It matches the Rfam family "Eukaryotic large subunit ribosomal RNA", at positions 1 to 2603 of the family's 3401-position model. Lineage: Eukaryota; Fungi; Microsporidia. The record is from Rfam.
CGAAGCUGGCGAAGCCAGGAGCACCCGCGGGACUUAAGCAUAUCAGUACGCGGCGGAGAAGAAACGAAGACGGACUCCCGGAGUAGCGGCGAGCGAAAGGGGACGAGCCCACAGCGAAAGGAAUGGUGUGCUGAAAGAAUGAAGGGAGGGAAGCGAGUUGAAGCUCGGCCAGAGAGGGUGGAAGCCCCGUACCGCACCGCGCGGCCGCAAGGCUGGUUAUUCGGGGAGGAGUAGGCGUGCUUGGGCGUGCACGGCGAAGGGUGGAGCGAUCCAUCGAAGGCUAAGUACGCGGACAGGCCGAUAGAGGAGAAGUACCGCGAGGGAAAGGAGAAAAGAGACGCGGGAGCGGAGUGAAAAGGCGCGAAACAGGGGGCGGAAGCGCGCGCGGCACGGGCCAGCGCGCGGCCCGUCUUGAAACACGGACCAAGGAGCGCUGCGCGCCCGCGAGCAGAACGUCAGAGGACGGGACGCGGCGGGAGCGACCGGCCGGGGAGGCGGAGAGCGGGCGCGCAGCGGCCCGAAAGGCAGUGAACUACGCCUGGCGAGAGCGACGGCGGGGGAAGCCCCGGCAGAGGCUCGGAGGGGGUCUGACGUGCAAAUCGAUCCCGGGAGCUGGGCGUAGCGGCGAAAGACCCAUCGAACUGCCUGGUAGCUGGUUCCGGGCGAAAUGUCCCGCAGGACAGCGGCCGCGGGCGCGUGGCGCGCGGUAGAGCGGACGAGGGGGCCUCGAACUGCGAACGCGCGCGCAGCGGCGCGGCCAGUGGGCGCGCUCUGGUAAGCAGGGCGCGCGAGGCGGGUCGAACCGAGCGCGGGGAUAAGGGGCCGCGGGGAGGCGGAGAGAGAAGGCCGGGCGCGGGUCAGGACAGCAGGGCGGUGGCCAUGGAGGUCGGCAUCCGGGAAGAAGUGUGUCGCAACAUACCUGCCGAACCCGCGCGCGCCGAAAAUGGACGGCGCUGCAGCUCCCCCCGACGCCCCGCCGCCACAGGGAGUGGCGAGUAGCCCGGCGGCGCGCAAGCGGGGAAGGGCGGCGGAGACGGCGCCUGGAGGGCGCGCGCGUGCGGAUCUUGGAGGGAGUAGCGGACUUGGGCGCCAAGGGCCGAGGAGGAGAAGGGUUUGGGGCACCAGAGAGCCGGGCCUAAGCGGCGCAGGCCGCGCCGCGAAGGGGAAGCGCAGCGCCGCCCGGUGGACGGCAGCGGAGAGCGCGCCUUGACGCCCGCGGCACGCGGGCCCGGGAGGGCAUCCCGGGGCGAGCGCGCUCGGACGCGUGGAGCGGCGAAGAGGCGCAAGCGCGGGGCCGCGGGCGCGUGAAAAGAGGCGCGCGGCGUUCGGGCGCCCGUACCGAAACCGCAGCAGGUCUCCGAGGCGCAGAGCCUCUGGCGCGGGAGAGCGCGGGUAAGGGAAUUCGGCAAAAUAGACGCGUAACUUCGGGAGAAGCGUUGGCUCUGGCGGCGCUAGAACCGGAACGCCCGGGGAGUCUGACUGUCUAAUUAAAACAUAGCCUCCCGAGCCCCAGUGGGUGCGCAGGGGAGGUGAGUUCUGCCCAGUGCCUAGAGAGUUACCGCGGGGCGAGCCGCCGAAGCGCGGGUAAACGGCGGGAGUAACUAUGACUCUCUUAAGGUAGCCAAACGCCUCGUCAUCUAAUUAGUGACGCGCAUGAAUGGACCAACGAGAUUCCCGCUGUCCCUACCCGCCUCCAGCGAAACCACAGCCAGGGGAACGGGCCUGGGCGCGCAGCGGGGAAAGAAGACCCUGUUGAGCUUGACUCUAGCCGGCGCAGGCCGGGGGCGGCGCGCACGUAGCCAGGUGGGAGGGUUCGCCCGCGCGUGAAAGACCACUGGCGCGCAGCUGCCCGGUCUCAGGGGCGCGCUCGGAAACGAGCAGCCCUGAC